AUCGCUUCUUGACCUUUUGGCUAAGAUCAAAUGUAUCUGUUCUUAUCAGUUUAAUGUCUGAUAUGUCCUCUAUCCAAGGACAAUAUAUUUAAAAAAACAACAACAUUA
Molecule: small nuclear RNA, 108 nt
Filed under: Otolemur garnettii (small-eared galago)
Lineage: Eukaryota; Metazoa; Chordata; Mammalia; Primates; Galagidae
Description: U2 spliceosomal RNA
Rfam family: U2 spliceosomal RNA
About the family: U2 is a small nuclear RNA (snRNA) component of the spliceosome (involved in pre-mRNA splicing). Complementary binding between U2 snRNA (in an area lying towards the 5' end but 3' to hairpin I) and the branchpoint sequence (BPS) of the intron results the bulging out of an unpaired adenosine, on the BPS, which initiates a nucleophilic attack at the intronic 5' splice site, thus starting the first of two transesterification reactions that mediate splicing.
Source: Rfam by way of RNAcentral